Non-coding RNA from Equus caballus (horse), 1761 nucleotides. NCBI's taxonomy places the organism in Eukaryota, Metazoa, Chordata, Mammalia, Perissodactyla, Equidae. The record is from RefSeq and is a predicted model, not a curated record.
CAGCAGCUGGGGGAGGUUGGGAUAGUAAGAGCCUCUGGUGAGAAGGGAGAGCCGGCCAGAACGCCACAGCGCCCGUUGCCGGUGGCCAUUUUGUAUGAGCUUGGGAAGGGCUCAGGGGCCCGGAGACAAGGGGUCUGUUUCUUUAGGGACCAAAUGACUCUGGAGGGAGAAGCCAAGGCAGGGGAAAGAGAUUGAACAGAGAAGACAGACAGAUGGAGCUCUUAGAACUUGAAGAGACUUAGAGAACUUCAGUCCAAUCCCACAACCCAAUAUCGGACUCCGCCCAAAAGCAAGCGGGAAGUGGCUCGCUGCACCUUCCCUGGAGGGUGGAGAAGUUCUUCCUUAUUGUCAGCUAACAUCAGCCUUCCUGCUCUAGAAACAAGGUGUUCGGAGCUGGCCACAGCACGUCAGAUGUGGCAGACCAGCCUGGAACACAUAUACGUCUAGGCACGAAGGGCACUUCUUGCACACGGUCCAAGACAGCGAUCACCUGCCUUUGCCAGUACUAUGCUGGGUGCUGGGCAUAUGAAGACAGGUCACAGCUGCCUCUGCACUGAGCUGUGUAUGUGCGUGUAUCAGAUUCAAGAGGGUGGCAAGAGAUGAGUUAAAGAUCUUCUAGCUAAACCUCCCACUCGCCUUCAGCUCCAGGGGCGAGCCUGCUAACCUAGGAGAGCCGCCUGCUCUCAGAAACUGGAGUCCUUGGGGGGCGCUGUUGGCACCAUGCUAUGGCCCACUCCCUCCCUUCUCUCCCCAGAAUAACCACUGCUCAACAAGUUUGAGUCCUCGGGCAGUCUUCUCUGUCUGAAAACUGGAGAAAAGGAAGGCUCUAUAUCAAAACUCUCAGGGACCGAGGAAGGAAGUUAAAUAAACCCAAGAGUCCUGAAACAACCUGACAUUGGAGAAUCAACUAAUAGAAGCUACAGCACCGGGUUGAGCAAAUAAAACCUGCUCCUGCCUCCACAGAGCCUAGAAUGGGACAUCUUGAAAGAAUCCAGAGGCUGUUAGCCAUUUGAACCCUCAGAGAGAAAGCUCCAAGCACAGUGCUGCAGGCUGCAGUUCUCAGUUGCUGUUCCCUCCUUUCACAGGGUGAGGGAAAGCCGUGGUUGAUAAGCAGAUGGCCCAGCUGACCCUCAUCAGCCCGCGAACACUGCACGCAAAAAGAAUUAAUAAAUCAAAUCUAAGAGAGUUAAAAAGGGAGAUGGUUACAUCUUACCAAUAAGUUCAUUAUUUUCCACAUUGGCUCAGCUCUGGACUAUGUCAAAGAAAUGGAUGGUGUUAUCUAACGUAGCCCAGACCACCAGAAGGGGCAGCAUGGGCAGACCACACGCGAUCACGCGUGCACAUAAGCACGGAGGAUUCGGAAAGACCAAGAAAGUAAUCUAAGUAACAGAGGCCCAAGAUCUGGCGAUUCCAAAAGAGCAGUCUUGACUGUCUUCUCUGAGCUUUACAGAGUCACGUUUGCCCUGAUUACCCUGCGGAAACAGGAGGAACUCGUCUGGUCGGUUUCACCCAUUUGUUGGCAUUUCCCUGUUGCCAAAUAUAGGCCCCAGGAAUUGUGUUUAAUCACUCACUCUCUUGCCUUUUUGCAGCUCUCUCAAUUUGGUGCCAUGGAAUAGAGGAAAGUAACCCCUUUUACAGUUUAAUAAGAGGCACCUAUAAAAUCAGCUGUAACGGAUCCAAUCUGGUUGGGCCAGGGGCUGGGCAAGGCCAAAAAGAUUCAAAGGCGAACUGCCCUCCACCCACAUAAUUCAAAAUAAAAUU